AAGAUGUUAGAACUUCGCAAGAAGAUGGCGUCCCUAAAUAACUAUUCUAAGAAAUUUCUUAGUUUGACCCCGUAACGACUGAUCCUUAAGUGGAGAGAUACAAAAGCUUUUGCUUUGUAUAAGAUGCUGACUCCUACUAGAGUUGUCUAGAGGAUGAAGAUAUAGUCUACACCAUUAGUAAUAAUGGAUAAUGUGACGGCCUGUACACCUACGGGUGGCAGCAACUGGGAAUUGUGCGCAAUGGGCGAAAGCCUGACGCCGCGACGCCGCGUGUGGGAUGAAAGCCUUCGGGUUGUAAACCACUUUUGCCAAGGAAGAGACGCCUUGGAGAAUAAGCACCGGCUAACUACGUGCCAGCAGCAGCGGUAAUACGUAGGGUGCUAGCGUUGUCCGGAUUUACUGGGCGUAAAGAGUUCGUAGGCGCCCCGUUAAGUCGCGUUUUAAAGACCAGAGCUCAACUUUGGGAGUGGACGCGAUACUAAUGGGGUUGGAAUACUGAGGGGCUAUCGGAACUGUCGGUGUAGGGGUGAAAUCCGUUGAUAUCGACAGGAACGCCAAGGGCGAAGGCAGAUAGCUGGCGGUUUUUCGACGCUGAGGAACGAAAGCUAGGGGAGCAAACCGGAUUAGAGACCCGGGUAGUCCUAGCCGUAAACUAUGCUCGCUAGGGAUGGUUUGGUUUUACCUGACCGUCUCGCAAGUCAACACGUUAAGCGAGCCGCCUGGGGAGUACGAGCGCAAGCUUAAAACUCAAAGGAAUUGGCGGGAACCCGCACAACCAGUGGAGCAUGUGGUUCAAUUCGAGACGAACCGAAGAACCUUACCUGGGCUUGACAUUUUACCCUUUAGGUUCUCAGAGAUGAGGACUGAUCUUGAUAGAAAUAUUAAGAAGGUAGAACAGGUGCUGCAUGGCUAGACCCGAAAGGGUUGAUGGCCCCCAUCUUAGUAAUGAGAUGAGGAAAAACCGGCUCAUAACGGUGGAGCCCGAUUGACUUUCGGAAUAACUUCGGUUAUUUUGAUAGUUGUAGGGUAAUACCGUGGGAAGCUUUAAUCUAAAAACAGCCAGAGAUUAUUAU
Molecule: ribosomal RNA, 1073 nt
Filed under: Candidatus Woesebacteria bacterium RBG_16_39_8b
Lineage: Bacteria; Candidatus Woeseibacteriota
Description: bacterial SSU rRNA
Rfam family: Bacterial small subunit ribosomal RNA
Source: RNAcentral